Aricia agestis (brown argus) is the source of this 181-nucleotide long non-coding RNA. RefSeq lists it as uncharacterized. Lineage: Eukaryota; Metazoa; Arthropoda; Insecta; Lepidoptera; Lycaenidae. The transcript has 3 exons. The record is from RefSeq and is a predicted model, not a curated record.
UGGACUAAUUUUGAGGCCGCUAACAUUACGCUCUUCAAGCAAUCUCACUCUCGAGAUCCCUCUGCACUCUACUUCUUUAUAUUCUAAAUCUUUCGCUGUUCGUGCUGCUACUCUUUGGAAUACUUUGCCUUUAGAUAUUCGACGAGCCGGUUCAAUAAAUAUUUUUAAACAUAAACUUAAA